CCUUCAUGUUUAAACAUGUUUUUAAAUUAAACUUUUAAUUUUGGGUAAUUGCAGAUUCACAUACAGUUGUAAGGAAUAAUACAAAGAG
Ceratotherium simum simum (southern white rhinoceros) is the source of this 88-nucleotide non-coding RNA. Lineage: Eukaryota; Metazoa; Chordata; Mammalia; Perissodactyla; Rhinocerotidae. The record is from RefSeq and is a predicted model, not a curated record.